AUUGAACGCUGGCGGCAGGCCUAACACAUGCAAGUCGAACGGCAGCACAGAAGAGCUUGCUCUUUGGGUGGCGAGUGGCGGACGGGUGAGUAAUGUCUGGGAAACUGCCCGAUGGAGGGGGAUAACUACUGGAAACGGUAGCUAAUACCGCAUAACGUCGCAAGACCAAAGUGGGGGACCUUCGGGCCUCACACCAUCGGAUGCGCCCAGAUGGGAUUAGCUAGUAGGUGGGGUAAUGGCUCACCUAGGCGACGAUCCCUAGCUGGUCUGAGAGGAUGACCAGCCACACUGGAACUGAGACACGGUCCAGACUCCUACGGGAGGCGGCAGUGGGGAAUAUUGCACAAUGGGCGCAAGCCUGAUGCAGCCAUGCCGCGUGUAUGAAGAAGGCCUUCGGGUUGUAAAGUACUUUCAGCGGGGAGGAAGGCGGUGAGGUUAAUAACCUCGCCGAUUGACGUUACCCGCAGAAGAAGCACCGGCUAACUCCGUGCCAGCCGCCGCAGUAA
This 506-nucleotide ribosomal RNA is filed under the name uncultured bacterium. RNAcentral's name for it is "partial 16S ribosomal RNA". It matches the Rfam family "Bacterial small subunit ribosomal RNA", at positions 29 to 523 of the family's 1533-position model. The record is from RNAcentral.